This 253-nucleotide ribosomal RNA is filed under the name uncultured bacterium. Its description in RNAcentral is "partial 16S ribosomal RNA". It matches the Rfam family "Bacterial small subunit ribosomal RNA", at positions 524 to 776 of the family's 1533-position model. The record is from RNAcentral.
UACGUAGGGUGCGAGCGUUAAUCGGAAUUACUGGGCGUAAAGCGUGCGCAGGCGGUUUUGUAAGCCAGAUGUGAAAUCCCCGGGCUUAACCUGGGAAUGGCAUUUGGGACUGCAAGGCUGGAGUGUGGCAGAGGAGACUGGAAUUCCUGGUGUAGCAGUGAAAUGCGUAGAUAUCAGGAGGAAUACCGAUGGCGAAGGCAGGUCUCUGGGCUGACACUGACGCUCAUGCACGACAGCGUGGGGAGCAAACAGG